CCCUCACCCCUCGCUGCAGGUGAAGCUCGCUGGGGCUGCUCUGUUUGCUGAAACACAAGCAUGCAGGGCAAUCCUGGAGACGCUGACACACAUCUAUCAGUAAACCAGCC
Gallus gallus (chicken) is the source of this 110-nucleotide microRNA precursor. The record is from Ensembl. Lineage: Eukaryota; Metazoa; Chordata; Aves; Galliformes; Phasianidae.